GGGGGCGACACGGUUUCGACGGGGUCGUUCCGAGGUCGAGGCUGCGCGUCGCGGACGCAGCUGGCCGCGUCACCAAGCUGCAACGCCAUCAACUGGCAACCGUAACUACGCUCUGGCUGCUUAACCGCGGCUAGCGUUCCCCGGAAGCCCCGCCCAUGGCUCGCCGGUGCGAACGUCCUGAAGUGGGCUGGCCGUAAGGUUCGGACGUCGACCCCAAGGCGAGAACUUAGACGUCUAAGCGUCAGGCAGGCCGGUCGUCGAGCCAACCUGGCGACGAAAACCGAUCGACGACUACACGCGUAGACGCCCGUCCGAGGCGGUUCCGGACGCGGGUUCGACUCCCGCCGCCUCCACCA
This 356-nucleotide transfer-messenger RNA is filed under the name Trueperaceae. Its description in RNAcentral is "JAAYYF01 sp012515535 Standard tmRNA". It matches the Rfam family "transfer-messenger RNA". Rfam says of the family: Bacterial tmRNA, also known as 10Sa RNA or SsrA, is named for its dual tRNA and mRNA-like properties. Its role is to liberate the mRNA from a stalled ribosome. Lineage: Bacteria; Thermotogati; Deinococcota; Deinococci; Trueperales. The record is from RNAcentral. RNAcentral also lists the same sequence under 1 other name.